Oryctolagus cuniculus (rabbit) is the source of this 274-nucleotide non-coding RNA. Lineage: Eukaryota; Metazoa; Chordata; Mammalia; Lagomorpha; Leporidae. The record is from RefSeq and is a predicted model, not a curated record.
UAAUAAAGAAGUCUUUUGAGUUUUGAGACAAUGUUAGUUGUGAUUAUUCUUUGGUGGAGGUGGUGUUCAUAGUCUGCAUUAGAAAGUAUGAACUCAAAGUGGGAUGGGGAAGUAAGAGAAUGAAGGGCAAGAACUGAGUAAGGAGAAAGGAGUGUGAUCCCAGACUUGGAAAUCCAAUAGGAGAAAGAUUUUUUAGGCUCAGUCAUAGAAAAAGGAAUGGGUGAAAUGGCAGAACUAUGAAACAGAAUCAGAAGACAGGAUUAAAAAAAAACAA